Molecule: small RNA, 281 nt
Filed under: Marmota monax (woodchuck)
Lineage: Eukaryota; Metazoa; Chordata; Mammalia; Rodentia; Sciuridae
Source: RNAcentral
UGCCUCUCAUCUAGUUAAAGAGCAAUUAGAGUUGGGACAUAUAGAACCAUCUACUAGUCCUUGGAAUACUCCUAUUUUUGUUAUUAAAAAUCUGGCAAAUGGAGACUCCUACAGGAUUUAAGAGCUAUUAACAAAACUAUGGAAACCAUGGGAGCUCUACAAUCGGGCCUCCCUUCUCCUGUGGCUAUACCAAAAGGAAAAUAUCUUGUAGUUAUAGAUCUACAGGACUGUUUUUUUAACAUUCCUCUUGAAAAACAGGAUUGUAAAAGUUUUGCUUUUAG